This 253-nucleotide ribosomal RNA is filed under the name uncultured bacterium. RNAcentral describes it as "partial 16S ribosomal RNA". It matches the Rfam family "Bacterial small subunit ribosomal RNA", at positions 524 to 776 of the family's 1533-position model. The record is from RNAcentral.
UACGUAGGGACCGAGCGUUGUCCGGAAUCAUUGGGCGUAAAGAGCGUGUAGGCGGCCAACUAAGUCCUGCGUGAAAUCUCGGGGCUCAACCCCGAGCGGUCGUGGGAAACUGGUUGGCUAGAGUGCGGGAGAGGAGAGUGGAAUUCCUGGUGUAGCGGUGAAAUGCGCAGAUAUCAGGAAGAACACCCGUGGCGAAGGCGGCUCUCUGGGCCUUACCUGACGCUGAGGAGCGAAAGCGUGGGGAGCGAACAGG